CCCUGGUAAUGGAGCAUCUAACUCAUUCUCGUGCUACCUCCAGCCCCACCCUUGUUGUCCUUCUUGCCUGGCAAGGGAGCGGCUGGCUUGAGCUCAGGACGGGAUGGCAGCAGAGGGAACCAUGGGUCAGGGCAGGGAGCAGGUUUCUUUUUCUAGUAGCUUCUCACCAAGGAAGGGCAGGCACCAACUCUCACCUGGAGAACGUGGGCCUCCGCCCCGCCAUGGUACCUGCUGUGACUCUUUCCUGCUGAAAAAAGAGUCUGGAGCGUCUUUAACCUUGUGUGAGUCACAGAUCGCCCUGGAUCUCAUUUGUGCAACCGGAAGAUCGCAUGAAAACACUAACAGGAAGACUUUUUCAGUAAUAUGACCUCCCCACCACCAUUUAUCCUCUCCUUGUAUCUUGGAUGGGGCGAAUUCUCUCGUACGCCUAUUGUGCUCCAAAAUGUCGCUUCUCAAGAGUUUCCACAGUAAUUCUACAAUGGAUUCUGAAGUCAACAGUAAUUCACAGUGGCCAAGGAAGGACGAGAAUGCGCCUCUUCCCUCCUCUGCCAUCCUUCCCCUAAGUAUUAGUUGGGUAGCUCCAGGAAGUGUUGCUGGAACAAAGAAAUGCCAGUGUUCUGUAACCAUCCCGCCAGUGAGGAGCGGAACACGAGCAGAUCCUGACUCAGAACAAGCUUCGCGGUGGCUUGUGAGCCAAAGACCUCGGUGGCAGCAAGCUCUAAGGCCAUGGGCACAGAGUAAAUGAUGACCAUGUACCUGCCACUUGGAGAAGUCUGAGAGAAAGGGCAACACUGAAGCAGAAAUAAAAGA
This is a long non-coding RNA of Hyaena hyaena (striped hyena), 810 nucleotides long. RefSeq lists it as uncharacterized. The transcript is spliced from 5 exons. The record is from RefSeq and is a predicted model, not a curated record. Lineage: Eukaryota; Metazoa; Chordata; Mammalia; Carnivora; Hyaenidae.